This 843-nucleotide ribosomal RNA is filed under the name uncultured bacterium. RNAcentral's name for it is "bacterial SSU rRNA". It matches the Rfam family "Bacterial small subunit ribosomal RNA", at positions 71 to 885 of the family's 1533-position model. The record is from RNAcentral.
CACGGGUGCUUGCACCUGGUGGCGAGUGGCGAACGGGUGAGUAAUACAUCGGAACAUGUCCUGUAGUGGGGGAUAGCCCGGCGAAAGCCGGAUUAAUACCGCAUACGAUCUACGGAUGAAAGCGGGGGACCUUCGGGCCUCGCGCUAUAGGGUUGGCCGAUGGCUGAUUAGCUAGUUGGUGGGGUAAAGGCCCACCAAGGCGACGAUCAGUAGCUGGUCUGAGAGGACGACCAGCCACACUGGGACUGAGACACGGCCCAGACUCCUACGGGAGGCAGCAGUGGGGAAUUUUGGACAAUGGGCGAAAGCCUGAUCCAGCAAUGCCGCGUGUGUGAAGAAGGCCUUCGGGUUGUAAAGCACUUUUGUCCGGAAAGAAAUCCUGAGGGCUAAUAUCCUUCGGGGAUGACGGUACCGGAAGAAUAAGCACCGGCUAACUACGUGCCAGCAGCCGCGGUAAUACGUAGGGUGCGAGCGUUAAUCGGAAUUACUGGGCGUAAAGCGUGCGCAGGCGGUUUUGUUAAGACCGAUGUGAAAUCCCCGGGCUCAACCUGGGGAACUGCAUUGGUGACUGGCAAGCUAGAGUAUGGCAGAGGGGGGUAGAAAUUCCACGUGUAGCAGUGAAAUGCGUAGAGAUGUGGAGGAAUACCCGAUGGCGAAGGCAGCCCCCUUGGGCCCAAUACUUGACGCUUCAUGCACGAAAGCCGUGGGGGAGCAAACAGGAAUUAGAAUACCCCUGGGUAGUCCACGCCCCUAACGAUGUCAACCUAGUUUGUUGGGGGAAUUCAUUUUCCCUUAGUAACGUAGCUAACCCCGUGAAGUUUGAACCGCCCUGGGGGAGUACGG